AGAACGAACGCUGGCGGCAGGCUUAACACAUGCAAGUCGAACGCCCCGCAAGGGGAGUGGCAGACGGGUGAGUAACGCGUGGGAAUCUACCUGGUUCUACGGAAUAACUGAGGGAAACUUCAGCUAAUACCGUAUACGCCCUAAGGGGGAAAGAUUUAUCGGUGCCAGAUGAGCCCGCGUAAGAUUAGCUAGUUGGUGGGGUAAUGGCCUACCAAGGCGACGACGGGUAGCCGGCCUGAGAGGGCGACCGGCCACACUGGGACUGAGACACGGCCCAGACUCCUACGGGAGGCAGCAGUGGGGAAUAUUGCGCAAUGGGCGAAAGCCUGACGCAGCAACGCCGCGCGAGGGACGAAGGCCUUCUGGGUUGUAAACCGUCUUUCAGCAGGGACGAUGAUGACGGUACCUGCAGAAGAGCCCGGCAACUCGCGCCAGCAGCCGC
This 442-nucleotide ribosomal RNA is filed under the name uncultured bacterium. Its description in RNAcentral is "SSU rRNA". It matches the Rfam family "Bacterial small subunit ribosomal RNA", at positions 26 to 518 of the family's 1533-position model. The record is from RNAcentral.